AUUGAACGCUGGCGGCAGGCCUAACACAUGCAAGUCGAGCGGAUGAAGGGAGCUUGCUCCUGGAUUCAGCGGCGGACGGGUGAGUAAUGCCUAGGAAUCUGCCUGGUAGUGGGGGAUAACGUCCGGAAACGGGCGCUAAUACCGCAUACGUCCUGAGGGAGAAAGUGGGGGAUCUUCGGACCUCACGCUAUCAGAUGAGCCUAGGUGGGAUUAGCUAGUUGGUGGGGUAAAGGCUUACCAAGGCGACGAUCCGCAACUGGUCUGAGAGGAUGAUCAGGCACACUGGAACUGGGACACGGUCCAGACUCCUACGGGAGGCAGCAGUGGGGAAUAUUAGACAAUGGGCGAAAGCCUGAUCCAGCCAUGCCGCGUGUGUGAAGAAGGUCUUCGGAUUGUAAAGCACUUUAAGUUGGGAGGAAGGGCAGUAAGUUAAUACCUUGCUGUUUUGACGUUACCAACAGAAUAAGCACCGGCUAACUUCGUG
This 484-nucleotide ribosomal RNA is filed under the name uncultured bacterium. RNAcentral describes it as "partial 16S ribosomal RNA". It matches the Rfam family "Bacterial small subunit ribosomal RNA", at positions 30 to 507 of the family's 1533-position model. The record is from RNAcentral.